RNAcentral lists this ribosomal RNA (956 nucleotides) under uncultured bacterium. RNAcentral's name for it is "bacterial SSU rRNA". It matches the Rfam family "Bacterial small subunit ribosomal RNA", at positions 8 to 994 of the family's 1533-position model. The record is from RNAcentral.
AGAGUUUGAUUCGGGCUCAGAAUCAACGCUGGCGGCGUGCCUAACACAUGCAAGUCGCACGAGAAAGGGACUUCGGUCUUGAGUAAAGUGGCGCACGGGUGAGUAACACGUGAAUUAUCUACCUCCGAGUGGGGAAUAACUGAGAGAAAUCUUAGCUAAUACCGCAUAACACUUACGAGUCAAAGCAGCAAUGCGCUUGGAGAGGAGUUCGCGGCCGAUUAGUUAGUUGGCGGGGUAAUGGCCCACCAAGACGAUGAUCGGUAUCCGGCCUGAGAGGGCGCACGGACACACUGGAACUGAAACACGGUCCAGACUCCUACGGGAGGCAGCAGUGGGGAAUUUUGCGCAAUGGGGGAAACCCUGACGCAGCAACGCCGCGUGGAGGAUGAAAUAUCUUGGUAUGUAAACUCCUUUCGAUGGGGAAGAUAAUGACGGUACCCAUAGAAGAAGCCCCGGCUAACUUCGUGCCAGCAGCCGCGGUAAUACGAGGGGGGCAAGCGUUGUUCGGAUUUAUUGGGCGUAAAGGGUGCGUAGGCGGUUUGGCAAGUCUUAUGUGAAAUCUAUGGGCUCAACCCAUAGUCUGCAUAAGAAACUGCCGGGCUUGAGUAUUGGAGAGGUGAGUGGAAUUUCCGGUGUAGCGGUGAAAUGCGUAGAUAUCGGAAGGAACACCUGUGGCGAAAGCGGCUCACUGGACAAUAACUGACGCUGAUGCACGAAAGCUAGGGGAGCAAACAGGAUUAGAUACCCUGGUAGUCCUAGCCCUAAACGAUGAUUGCUUGGUGUGGCAGGUACCCAAUCCUGCCGUGCCGAAGCUAACGCGAUAAGCAAUCCGCCUGGGGAGUACGGUCGCAAGGCUGAAACUCAAAAGGAUUUGACGGGGGCCCGCACAAGCGGUGGGAGCAUGUGGUUUAAUUCGACGCACGCGAAGAACCUUACCUGGGCUCGAAAUGUAGAAG